GUCCAGCAGGACCUAACGCCUAUGUGUUUUAUAAAGCAGGGCUUCUACGGCUGAAACCCCCUUAUCUCUCUCUUUUUAAGGAUUAGGAAAACGCCCUUACUAUGAGUUCUCUCACGGAGCCUCUCCCGAAGCACCUGCUCCCCUUCUCUCUCCUCUGUAACCCCUCUAUCUUUUAUCUAUGAGUUCUCUCUCUUCUCAAACCCUAAACCCCCAUCGAUGUGCCCUCUCUUCGAGCCCUAGACUUCAUUUCCAGAAUUGUUUCUAUAUCAAAUAUGAUAGACACACCAGCUGACCACCAUCAAGUUAUUGGAGAGACAGUGAGGUCAUCCAAGGCAUGAAAGGACCCAGAGUAGUAGGUCCUCUCCAUUGAUGUCCAUCCUUCAAAUCAAUGGUGUUAGGCUGGUUACUACCCUAUUUAGAUUUACACUAAGGCAUUGGCGUUAUCGGAAAAAUAGUUUGAUCGCACAGUUCCUAGAAGAUGGACACAGACGUGGACGUGGAUGCAGAGGACGACUCCGCGGACACAACAAUGGGCAUGAAUAUUAGUGAAACUUUAAUCUCUCGCAUACCAUCACUCCAAUCUCUCUCUAAAUCCGUAUGGCUUUUUGAGGUAAGACUUCAUCUAUCGCACACCAUCUCUCCAAUCUUUCACUCUUUAAAUCUCUAUAGCUUGUUGGGGUAAAAUCUCCUCUCGUACACCAUCUCACCAAUCUUUCUCUCUUUAAAUCCCUGUGGCUUUUUGGAGUAAAACUUCAUCCCUCGUUCACUGUCUCUCCACUCUUUUUCUCUCUAAAUCCAUAUGUUUUUUGGGUAAAACCUCAACCAUCUCUCCACUCUUUCUAUCUCUGAAUCCCUGUUUUUUUUUUGGGGUAAGAGUUCAUCUCAAACCCUUGCUCUCUACCCUACUCGUACCCGUCUCUUAAAGCCCAAGACAAUACAGGGAAAACCAAAUUCUCAAGCAUCAUGUAUGAUUUUUAUGUACAUGAUUUUUAUUUUUCUUUUCCAAUGGAUUUCUUAGGUGCAUUGUAUACUUUUUCCUUUCGAAAAUCGAUCUUAGAGACGAUCUAAGAUACAUUAAAGUUACUCUUGAUGGCUACUUAAAUAUAAACAUGGGAACUUUUUUUUUGUUUCUUAUAUUACUUUCUUUGUCUAUUUCCAAAAAAAAAAAAGGUAGUAAUUUGUGAUAUCAGAAUGAAGAGCUUAUCAGAAUAAAUUGCAACAUAAUUUAUUUCAAUUAUACUGGAAUAAGGGUUUUAUACAAUAAGAGCAUUUUCCUUUGUCAAAAUCUAUUAGCAUAGGUAUUUCACAAAUUCAAUUGAAAUUUCUUUCGAAGUUUGAACUUGGUCAAUGCAAUAAUGUAGCCAUCUAGUUUCACAUCCACAAUGAGAAACAAGAUUGGCACAAGUUGUAACAAUUGACAGCAAUCAAUAGCAAAUACUAAGCAACAUUUUAAAUCUUAAUUUUUUCCCACAAUUGUAAUAUUCAAGGCCAAAUAAUUUGAUGCAAAAAUUUUCUAAUACUUGAAUUACAAUUUUAGAUGAGUUAUACCCAAUGGUUUAAAAAAAGGAUCGGUGACCCGGAUCGGGC
Molecule: long non-coding RNA, 1587 nt
Organism: Amborella trichopoda
Lineage: Eukaryota; Viridiplantae; Streptophyta; Magnoliopsida; Amborellales; Amborellaceae
Source: RefSeq, a predicted model, not a curated record